UAUCAUAGUUUCAUUCUUAAGGAAGUUUUUCUUUUCCUGGGUUCUGAUUCUCGGCUUAUCCUACAAUUUGACAGGUGCAAAGAAAAAUGAAGGGAUAAUUCUAGUUGCUGAUAGUAUGGCUGUAACCGCAAUGGUCCAGCUAGCAAUGCAAUAUAUUGAAACUAAGAUUGAGCUAAUUAAGACCCUUAAUAGCGUAUCUGCUGGAAAGAUAUAUGUUGAAAUAGAGAGAGCACAUUUGAUUAAGAGGCUUGCAAAGAUUAAGGAAGAACAAGGACAAGCUGCCUGCAAAGGAUGUGUAUAUUUCUUACCAUCCUCUAGCACAUAUUUUUGACAGAGAUUGAGGAGUGUGUUAUAUAAAUCGAGCCUCAGUUGGUAUUUUGGCGCAAAAGACAUAUGCAAGAAUGCAUGGAAGGUAAUCCAAGUGCUAAAACAAUGAAAAACAUGUCAAGGGAUUUUGCUGUUCUUACUAUUCAUUUCACAAUGAGUUCCCCUAAGGUAU
Impatiens glandulifera is the source of this 499-nucleotide long non-coding RNA. RefSeq lists it as uncharacterized. The record is from RefSeq and is a predicted model, not a curated record. The transcript is spliced from 5 exons. Lineage: Eukaryota; Viridiplantae; Streptophyta; Magnoliopsida; Ericales; Balsaminaceae.